ACAUGCAAGUCGAGCGAACGGACGAGAAGCUUGCUUCUCUGAUGUUAGCGGCGGACGGGUGAGUAACACGUGGAUAACCUACCUAUAAGACUGGGAUAACUUCGGGAAACCGGAGCUAAUACCGGAUAAUAUUUUGAACCGCAUGGUUCAAAAGUGAAAGACGGUCUUGCUGUCACUUAUAGAUGGAUCCGCGCUGCAUUAGCUAGUUGGUAAGGUAACGGCUUACCAAGGCAACGAUGCAUAGCCGACCUGAGAGGGUGAUCGGCCACACUGGAACUGAGACACGGUCCAGACUCCUACGGGAGGCAGCAGUAGGGAAUCUUCCGCAAUGGGCGAAAGCCUGACGGAGCAACGCCGCGUGAGUGGUGAAGGUCUUCGGAUCGUAAAACUCUGUUAUUAGGGAAGAACAUAUGUGUAAGUAACUGUGCACAUCUUGACGGUACCUAAUCAGAAAGCCACGGCUAACUACGUGCCAGCAGCCGCGGUAAUACGUAGGUGGCAAGCGUUAUCCGGAAUUAUUGGGCGUAAAGCGCGCGUAGGCGGUUUUUUAAGUCUGAUGUGAAAGCCCACGGCUCAACCGUGGAGGGUCAUUGGAAACUGGAAAACUUGAGUGCAGAAGAGGAAAGUGGAAUUCCAUGUGUAGCGGUGAAAUGCGCAGAGAUAUGGAGGAACACCAGUGGCGAAGGCGACUUUCUGGUCUGUAACUGACGCUGAUGUGCGAAAGCGUGGGGAUCAAACAGGAUUAGAUACCCUGGUAGUCCACGCCGUAAACGAUGAGUGCUAAGUGUUAGGGGGUUUCCGCCCCUUAGUGCUGCAGCUAACGCAUUAAGCACUCCGCCUGGGGAGUACGACCGCAAGGUUGAAACUCAAAGGAAUUGACGGGGACCCGCACAAGCGGUGGAGCAUGUGGUUUAAUUCGAAGCAACGCGAAGAACCUUACCAAAUCUUGACAUCCUUCGACAACUCUAGAGAUAGAGCCUUCCCCUUCGGGGGACAAAGUGACAGGUGGUGCAUGGUUGUCGUCAGCUCGUGUCGUGAGAUGUUGGGUUAAGUCCCGCAACGAGCGCAACCCUUAAGCUUAGUUGCCAUCAUUAAGUUGGGCACUCUAAGUUGACUGCCGGUGACAAACCGGAGGAAGGUGGGGAUGACGUCAAAUCAUCAUGCCCCUUAUGAUUUGGGCUACACACGUGCUACAAUGGACAAUACAAAGGGCAGCGAAACCGCGAGGUCAAGCAAAUCCCAUAAAGUUGUUCUCAGUUCGGAUUGUAGUCUGCAACUCGACUACAUGAAGCUGGAAUCGCUAGUAAUUGUAGAUCAGCAUGCUACGGUGAAUACGUUCCCGGGUCU
This 1347-nucleotide ribosomal RNA is filed under the name uncultured bacterium. RNAcentral's name for it is "bacterial SSU rRNA". It matches the Rfam family "Bacterial small subunit ribosomal RNA", at positions 53 to 1381 of the family's 1533-position model. The record is from RNAcentral.